CGUGUAGGCGGUCGGGUAAGUCAGAUGUGAAAGCCUUCUGCUCAACAGAAGAAGUGCAUUUGAAACUGCUCGGCUGGAGUACGGGAGAGGAGAGUGGAAUUCCCGGUGUAGAGGUGAAAUUCGUAGAUAUCGGGAGGAACACCAGUGGCGAAGGCGGCUCUCUGGUCCGAUACUGACGCUGAGACGCGAAAGCGUGGGGAGCAAACAGGAUUAGAUACCCUGGUAGUCCACGCCGUAAACGAUGGGCACUAGGUGCAGGAGGUAUUGACCCCUUCUGUGCCGAAGCUAACGCAUUAAGUGCCCCGCCUGGGGAGUACGGCCGCAAGGCUAAA
Molecule: ribosomal RNA, 332 nt
Filed under: uncultured bacterium
Lineage: Bacteria
Description: bacterial SSU rRNA
Rfam family: Bacterial small subunit ribosomal RNA
Source: RNAcentral